UUUGUUAUUGCUAGGAUACGCCAUUCUCGCAUUUUCACAUGCGAGAGUAGUGGAAAUCAAGGCGUUAUACUAUAGGUGGACCGCAAUGUCAAAAUUGCUGUUCGGCCAUUGCUCGUGAAAAAACAAAUUUGUUUACAAAGCAAAUCAUAUCUUUUGGUGACAAAUGCAUUCGUUGGCAAAAUAGCUGCUCGAGCUUCACUGUAGGCAGAUAUCUACAAUCAGCGGUCGAAUUAAAAACAGUGCAGAAGGAUGUUUUGAGUAUAUUUUACCUUCUAGCCGCGCAAUCAAUGCUUUUCUUUCCAAGCAAGCAGCGUUUUUCGGCAAAAGCAUGAAAUAGAAUCGUACGUGGUACGAAUCAUCAAAACAUCAAACAAUCAUCAUGGCAUCAUCAAACGGAAACUACGCGAAAAAUUUUUCGAAGAGAUAAAACUGCGCCGCAACACUCGUGUCAAAAUGGACGAGUUGGGCUGGGUGCUGAUGAACCACGAUUUGAUAACACGUAAUGAGCCAAUCCAACAGCAUGCCAAUGGUAAUCGACCAAAUCAUUUUGAAUUGAACAUGGAGCGGUUGCGAAACCUACUGGAGCAGCAUGAACAGAACAAUCACGCUGAGUUGACUUCCAAAAAGCAAAACAAAUUCCUGCGUAUGCUGGAUGCAAUUUUAAAAACGACAAAGUUUUGAAGGAAGUUAAAGAGAUGGUAGCGGCGAAUCGACUUCUAUCGGAAAUUCGUUAUGUGACUACGGUGGAACGUAUGCUGAAACACAAUUUGGACCCCUCUUUGCGCUGUUGCUUUGUAUGCCGAGAGUAUUUCCGCACUGCCGAUGAGUAUACCAGUCAUUUCGACAAAUUGCACGGUGAGAAAUUUCUUAUUGUUGCGGCGGUGGAUCGAUUUCAGACUAGUCAAAAGUUCAACGUUCUACAUCACUACAAUGCCCUUAAUCCGGUGACAAUAUUCACGAUUUGCAACGUAUACCACACAGCCCUAAUAAAAUAAAAACAAGAAAAGACGGGUCUAAUAUUUUAUAAUAAAGAACAAAUCUACCACUUUCCACGAAAAUCGGAGAACCACUAUAUCGGUUUGACAUGGAAUGGCUGAUACAUAUAAGGCAGAAAAAAAGGUUUAACUUUCGAAUUCAACAUCCUAUAUUUCCUCGUACCAUUAAGUUCAUGGCGCAUUUGAUGUCGGUCAUCGUAGCUGCUGCUAUGGAAAUGACGUGAGCAUAUACCUUGAUUUUUCUGAGGUUUCCAAUCCUUCGAUUGGCCACAGAAAGUAUCCAUUUAUGAAGUCUAUCUCCAUCUCGGAGAAAAGUGUGGUAAACAAUAU
Molecule: long non-coding RNA, 1325 nt
Organism: Toxorhynchites rutilus septentrionalis
Lineage: Eukaryota; Metazoa; Arthropoda; Insecta; Diptera; Culicidae
Exons: 4
Source: RefSeq, a predicted model, not a curated record